AACGAACGCUGGCGGCGUGCCUAAUACAUGCAAGUCGAACGAGAAAGCCCUUUCGGGGGUAAGUAGAGUGGCGCACGGGUGAGUAACACGUAGGUGACCUGCCCUUUGAUGUGGAAUAACUCCGAGCAAUUGGAGCUAAUACCGCAUAAGAUUGUAGAAUUUGAAAAUAUACAAUGAAAGAUUGCCUCUAUUUAUAAGCAAUCAUCGAAGGAGGGGCAUGGGGGACAUUAGCUAGUUGGUGGGGUAAUGGCCUACCAAGGCAUCGCAUGUCUAGCCGGUUUGAGAGGAUGAUCGGCCACACUGGAACUGAGACACGGUCCAGACUCCUACGGGAGGCAGCAGUAGGGAAUAUUGCGCAAUGGGCGAAAGCCUGACGCAGCAACGCCGCGUGAGUGAGGAAGGCCUUAGGGUUGUAAAGCUCUGUCGGAAUGAAAAAAGGGCGAUAGGUCUAAUAGGCCUGUCGAUUGAUGGUACAUUCAGAGGAAGCACCGGCUAACUUCGUGCCAGCAGCCGCAGUAA
RNAcentral lists this ribosomal RNA (519 nucleotides) under uncultured bacterium. Its description in RNAcentral is "partial 16S ribosomal RNA". It matches the Rfam family "Bacterial small subunit ribosomal RNA", at positions 29 to 523 of the family's 1533-position model. The record is from RNAcentral.